AUGCUUAGUAGCGGCGAGUGAGCGGCAAAAGCUCAAAUUUGAAAUCUGGCGCCUUCGGUGUCCGAGUUGUAAUUUGAAGAUUGUAACCUUGGGGUUGGCUCUUGUCUAUGUUUCUUGGAACAGGACGUCACAGAGGGUGAGAAUCCCGUGCGAUGAGAUGCCCAAUUCUAUGUAAGGUGCUUUCGAAGAGUCGAGUUGUUUGGGAAUGCAGCUCUAAGUGGGUGGUAAAUUCCAUCUAAAGCUAAAUAUUGGCGAGAGACCGAUAGCGAACAAGUACAGUGAUGGAAAGAUGAAAAGAACUUUGAAAAGAGAGUGAAAAAGUACGUGAAAUUGUUGAAAGGGAAGGGUUUGAGAUCAGACUCGAUAUUUUGUGAGCCUUGCCUUCGUGGCGGGGUGACCCGCAGCUUAUCGGGCCAGCAUCGGUUUGGGCGGUAGGAUAAUGGCGUAGGAAUGUGACUUUACUUCGGUGAAGUGUUAUAGCCUGCGUUGAUGCUGCCUGCCUAGACCGAGGACUGCGAUUUUAUCAAGGAUGCUGGCAUAAUGAUCCCAAACCGCCCGUCUUAA
This 564-nucleotide ribosomal RNA is filed under the name Meyerozyma guilliermondii. RNAcentral's name for it is "eukaryotic LSU rRNA". It matches the Rfam family "Eukaryotic large subunit ribosomal RNA", at positions 73 to 657 of the family's 3401-position model. Lineage: Eukaryota; Fungi; Ascomycota; Pichiomycetes; Serinales; Debaryomycetaceae. The record is from RNAcentral.